AUGCUUGUUUUGUGAGGAAAAAGUUGUCAGGAAAAUUUUGAGCUUGUGUUUUCUUUUUCUUUUUUUUGACGAGGGGCAUGUGUUUUCUUUAAUUCGCAUCUCCGCUUCAGUUCACGAUGCAAGCAUUUUUCUUACGAUCUACUAAAUUAUGUGCAAUCUCAAUGUGGAAAUAGGGUGCACAAGUUGGAGUACAAAUAGUGCUAUAAAUUUACCUUGUCAGUAAUGGCUUGGACUAUCCCUUUCUCUGUAGUUGUCUUCAUAGGCAGCUUCGGUUUCUAAAUACUAUUAUUCGAUCUUUGUCAAGUGGGUAUGCUCUACUAACCCUAUUUCUGGAGCAGGAAAGGUUGGAUAUAAUUCAUCUGUUUUGAAUAUAAUAUACUUGUGUGUUGAAUUUAAUGUAGUAUGGAUCUCUUGGUGGCUGGUUGUGUUAUUUUUUAGUUACAUUUGUUGCCCCUUAGAGACAUAUGGUGUUACAACUGGUGGACACAAUACAUUUUAUGGAGACUCUAAAUUUAAAAGACAGUGUUGAAAAGGAUACCUUCUUCCUUAAGCUUCCAAAUUUAGCAGAGCAGCUUCCUCGUCCAAUCGUCCUGAAAAAAGUGUGACAUGGAAAUUCUAAUGUUAUAUAUCUACCUGAAAUGCCUUUGAAUGCCAGCUUAUGUUUUUGUUUUCUUGUUUAUACAGUUAGUUCCAUUAUUAGCUUCUGCACUUGAAUUUGGUUCAGCUGCUGCCCCUGCUUUGGCUACCUUGUUGAAAAUGGGUUCUUGGCUUUCCAAAGAAAGAAUUCAUUGCCAAGGUUUACCAGUACCUUAUUCCAGGAAACUCUCCAUUGGCACCAGCUGUGGAGUGUUUAGAGGACAUGCCUAUUCCCUUGUGCAGUGUCUAUGCUUUUACGAGAGGAGAACCCCCAUUUACAAACUGCACUCCGGACUUCACCAAUACUCUUGAUUAUAUAUUAUUUGCCCCUACUGAUAACAUAAAACCAGUCAGUUUCCUGGAGCUUCCAGAACUAGACUCAUCUGAUGUUGUUGGUGGAUUACCAAAUUACAGCCACCCAAGUGAUCAUCUACCAAUUGGUGCUGAAUUUGAAAUUACCAGGGACUAACUUAUCUUGCAGUGCAAGUGAUAUUUGUAAUCUCUUGCUCUAAUUCGAUAGCAACAAUGGGAGGGGGGUAUUUGAAUCUGGUUCUCCUAAUAAAGGAGAGCAGGCUAUGCCUUUGAGCUAUACAACACUUGGUGUAAUGUCCUAUAGUUUUCUUUUCUUUCACAUCUCUCUCUCUCUCUCUCUCAACAAAAGUUAAGGUUCAACUGAGAGAAUUGGAAA
This is a long non-coding RNA of Quercus robur (English oak), 1324 nucleotides long. RefSeq lists it as uncharacterized. The record is from RefSeq and is a predicted model, not a curated record. NCBI's taxonomy places the organism in Eukaryota, Viridiplantae, Streptophyta, Magnoliopsida, Fagales, Fagaceae. The transcript is spliced from 2 exons.